AUUAAAAACCAAUGCCCUUCGGGGCUCUCUGGUGAUUCAUAAUAACUUCUCGAAUCGCACGGCCUUGCGCCGGCGAUGGUUCAUUCAAAUUUCUGCCCUAUCAGCUUUCGACGGCUGGGUCUUGGCCAGCCGUGGUGACAACGGGUAACGGAGGGUUAGGGCUCGACCCCGGAGAAGGAGCCUGAGAAACGGCUACUACAUCCAAGGAAGGCAGCAGGCGCGCAAAUUACCCAAUCCCGACACGGGGAGGUAGUGACAAUAAAUACUGAUACAGGGCUCUUUCGGGUCUUGUAAUUGGAAUGAGUACAAUUUAAAUCCCUUAACGAGGAACAAUUGGAGGGCAAGUCUGGUGCCAGCAGCCGCGGUAAUUCCAGCUCCAAUAGCGUAUAUUAAAGUUGUUGAGGUUAAAAAGCUCGUAGUUGAACCUUGGGCCUAGCCGGCCGGUCCGCCUCACCGCGUGCACUGGCUCGGCUGGGUCUUUCCUUCUGGAGAACCGCAUGCCCUUCACUGGGUGUGCC
This 518-nucleotide ribosomal RNA is filed under the name uncultured fungus. RNAcentral's name for it is "SSU rRNA". It matches the Rfam family "Eukaryotic small subunit ribosomal RNA", at positions 214 to 732 of the family's 1831-position model. The record is from RNAcentral. Lineage: Eukaryota; Fungi.